RNAcentral lists this long non-coding RNA (1632 nucleotides) under Triticum aestivum (bread wheat). Its description in RNAcentral is "long non-coding RNA (TAES_LNC009155)". The record is from RNAcentral. Lineage: Eukaryota; Viridiplantae; Streptophyta; Magnoliopsida; Poales; Poaceae.
UGGGUUCAGUUAAGAGUCCUGACACCCGCCGCGCCCCCGCGUCACCGUCGCCGCCGCCACGGUCGUGGUGGCGUCCUCGUACGGCUGUAAUACGGUGAGGAAGAGAGGGAUGUGUAUCAGGCCAUGGGGUAAUGGAGGGCGGCAUCCCUGGGACCUCCAGCGGGCUGCUAGUCUCCUCCCACUCAUACAGCAUGGAAGCGCUCGACUCGACUCCCUCGCCUACGACGGUAAGUGAUUCUUGGGUUCUGGAUCGAGUUCUAUUUGCCUUGAUUCGCCUAGGGCUUUAGCUUUAGCUUUAGCAACUGUAAUGCCCGAUGGUUAGCAGGGAAUGGUUGGGAUUGGUAUGGUUUAGGUGGACGCCCAUGUUCUGUUCGACGAAAUGCGUAAUCCAUAGCUUCUUAAUAGCUGUCCAAGCGUCUGCUUUAGCGUGCGGGAUAGUGUGUGCUGCCAUGAAUUCGGAGAUCAGCACCAACCAUGUGGUGCUUGUGCACUCAUGCAUAUGGUGUUUAAUGAGACUUGUAGUUUGAGGGGGGCCAAGGUGUGGCCAUGUAUGCACAGGUUCUAGCUGUUACAAUCCUGUUUGUUUCCUGAUCAGAUUCUGGUCUGGAUAUUGCACAUCAACUGCUGAAUCAGCAUGUCUGAUUUUGGACGUGCCCUGUGCGUACGGCCUGUAAAUGUUUUCUGAAUACGGGAGUUCGAUGUUUUAGCAACAGUGACAUGUUUCAUGAUGCUGGAGGCAAACUUACUAACGCAUUGAGAGAACACUGUAAGGCAGUAUGUGUUGUGGCUAGAAAAGAUAAUCAACCAUGGACAAUGAAAGCCUACGGCUACAGAAACCGUAGAUGAGAAUUGUUUUGUCAAUGUUACUGCUAGUUUAUUAUAAUUUGGCAUAAACUCAAAAUUCUGAAGAUGGUGUUAUCUACUAUGUUCUGCAGUUAGGCUGAAAUGUAACUUGGAUAGCUUUUCUCUCAAAAGGGAGGUUGUUCAGGAAUUGGGACCAAAUCAAAAGACUCUGUCUCCAAGUUUAACCAUGCUUGUUGAAGAUGUCGCAGAGGAAAUAUCGGUUAGUAGUUACUAGUUUGUAAAAGGAGUGCGCUUUUAUGGAUAUGUUCUUAAAAGCCAACUAAAUAUUCUGUUUCUUCCCCGGCAUUUUUUUGCAUCUUCCAUUUUUCUUUUACUCCCUCCAGUCAGGCAAUACAACCGGAUCGAUUCGUAGUUCUUUUGAGGCCAAUUGUUGCCGGAGCAGAAUCGAUAAUGAAGGUCAUCUAUCCAUGCGCCUCUGAUGGAGUCAUGGCAUGCGUUUGAUAUCCUUAAGUCAUUGAUCUGUUACCUUCUCUGGAUUUGGUUCUUGUGGCUGCUAGUUCUACUGAUACAAGUUCAUUAUUGAGCGCUGAGCUCAGAUGCAGGUUCCGAGUUAUUUUCUUCUCCGUUUACUCGUUUAAUAAAUUUACGCACCUAUGUUACUCUGUUUAUUUCUGUUCUUAUUUAAUCACACAAUAAAGUAGAUACAUGUCAAUUUGGAUGCUCUUGGUAAUGCUCUUGUCUUUUCUGGGUGUUAUUGGCUGACAUACCAUGAAAUAAGCACAAAUAUAGAAUAGAGAGAAUCAACUCUUAUAGAGUAAGACAUUUGAU